This 497-nucleotide ribosomal RNA is filed under the name uncultured bacterium. Its description in RNAcentral is "partial 16S ribosomal RNA". It matches the Rfam family "Bacterial small subunit ribosomal RNA", at positions 28 to 507 of the family's 1533-position model. The record is from RNAcentral.
GAUGAACGCUGGCGGCGUGCCUAAUACAUGCAAGUCGAGCGAACGGACGAGAAGCUUGCUUCUCUGAUGUUAGCGGCGGACGGGUGAGUAACACGUGGAUAACCUACCUAUAAGACUGGGAUAACUUCGGGAAACCGGAGCUAAUACCGGAUAAUAUUUUGAACCGCAUGGUUCAAAAGUGAAAGACGGUCUUGCUGUCACUUAUAGAUGGAACCGCGCUGUAUUAGCUAGUUGGUAAGGUAACGGCUUACCAAGGCAACGAUGCAUAGCCGACCUGAGAGGGUGAUCGGCCACACUGGAACUGAGACACGGUCCAGACUCCUACGGGAGGCAGCAGUAGGGAAUCUUCGGCAAUGGGCGAAGGCCUGACGGAGCAACGCCGCGUGAGUGAUGAAGGUCUUCGGAUCGUAAAGCUCUGUUAGUAGGGAAGAACAGAUGUGUAAGUAACUGUGCACAUCUUGACGGUACCUAAUCAGAAAGCCACGGCUAACUACGUG